Molecule: non-coding RNA, 45 nt
Filed under: Schistosoma margrebowiei
Lineage: Eukaryota; Metazoa; Platyhelminthes; Trematoda; Strigeidida; Schistosomatidae
Source: RNAcentral
AUUCACCUGAGGAGUCCUAAAUAGAACGAAACGCAUGUCCUAGAU